RNAcentral lists this ribosomal RNA (252 nucleotides) under uncultured bacterium. RNAcentral's name for it is "partial 16S ribosomal RNA". It matches the Rfam family "Bacterial small subunit ribosomal RNA", at positions 524 to 775 of the family's 1533-position model. The record is from RNAcentral.
UACGAAGGGUGCAAGCGUUACUCGGAAUUACUGGGCGUAAAGCGUGCGUAGGUGGUGAGUUAAGUCUGAUGUGAAAUCCCCGGGCUCAACCUGGGAAUGGCAUUGGAUACUGGCUCGCUAGAGUGCGGUAGAGGGUGGUGGAAUUCCCGGUGUAGCAGUGAAAUGCGUAGAGAUCGGGAGGAACAUCUGUGGCGAAGGCGGCCACCUGGACCAACACUGACACUGAGGCACGAAAGCGUGGGGAGCAAACAG